AGUGAACGCUGGCGGUAGGCCUAACACAUGCAAGUCGAACGGCAGCACAGUAAGAGCUUGCUCUUACGGGUGGCGAGUGGCGGACGGGUGAGGAAUACAUCGGAAUCUACUUUUUCGUGGGGGAUAACGUAGGGAAACUUACGCUAAUACCGCAUACGACCUACGGGUGAAAGCAGGGGAUCUUCGGACCUUGCGCGAUUGAAUGAGCCGAUGUCGGAUUAGCUAGUUGGCGGGGUAAAGGCCCACCAAGGCGACGAUCCGUAGCUGGUCUGAGAGGAUAAUCAGCCACACUGGAACUGAGACACGGUCCAGACUCCUACGGGAGGCAGCAGUGGGGAAUAUUAGACAAUGGGCGCAAGCCUGAUCCAGCGAUACCGCGUGGGUGAAGAAGGCCUUCGGGUUGUAAAGCCCUUUUGUUGGGAAAGAAAAGCAGCAGGUUAAUACCCCGCUGUUCUGACGGUACCCAAAGAAUAAGCACCGGCUAACUUCGUG
RNAcentral lists this ribosomal RNA (492 nucleotides) under uncultured bacterium. RNAcentral describes it as "partial 16S ribosomal RNA". It matches the Rfam family "Bacterial small subunit ribosomal RNA", at positions 29 to 507 of the family's 1533-position model. The record is from RNAcentral.